Molecule: long non-coding RNA, 1496 nt
Organism: Panicum virgatum (switchgrass)
Lineage: Eukaryota; Viridiplantae; Streptophyta; Magnoliopsida; Poales; Poaceae
Exons: 7
Source: RefSeq, a predicted model, not a curated record
AUUUUGUAAAUUGUUAGUGCAAAUUUAACAAAAUUUAUUCAAUGUUGCAAAUGGAUACAAAUUUUGUUAGUAAUUUGACAUUUAGUGAAAUUUAGUGCAAAUUUAUGGAGAUAUGGCUUUUAUUCAAUAUAGUUCUUUUAUCAAAAGUCCAAAAUAGUGCAAACUACUAGAUGAAAUUUUUCUUGGAGUGUUAAGAGAUCAUUUAGCACUCAAUCUCUACUACUAAUAAGAGGCUAAGGGUGACGUUUUUUCGCCUACAUAGUCAUCCUCCCAUUUUGGUUUAGCCUGCAACGGUUGUAAUUCAUUCAUUUCAAUUCUCGGUGCGAUCCACGGCUGCUACCCCGCUCGCCCAUCCGCACACCUUUCACGCAAUCACGCACCCUCACCUCCCCCCGCCCUCCCCUUGGACUCGAGAUCCAUCCGUUGCUGCCCCGCCGCCGCCCCCUUCACGCGCUGCCCCGCUGCCGCCCCCUUCACGUUGCUGCCCCAAGGUGCUGCAGCCGCCGCCGCAAGGCGCAGCCGCAAGCACGCCGCCGCAGCAAGCCGCCGCCGAUCGAGAUCCAGUGGAGGGACCUCUUCCGUCCCUUCCUUCAGCGUCAUCUUCUGCGCUUUGGUCUCACUGAUGGGAUAUGUGAAGCUGUUUCCAUAGAGUUUUCUCCUAUUCCAUUCAUCACUGAAGAGAUAGCUCCAGGUACCAAGCCUGAACUAUUGCUGGCGCUGUAGCUGACCUUGUGUCUUCCAGAUCGGUUCACGCAAAUGGAUCCUCCCAACAAUACCAAAGACUCGGGUUUGGCUGAUGAUGCUCUUCAACUGCGACGAGAGCGGCAACGAGUCCGUUAUGCCGCAAUGACAGAUGAGCAAAGAGACGAAAAGAACAGGAAGUGGCGUGAGGCAUACAAGAGAAAAAAGAAUAAUGCAAACAAGGAAAAUGAGCCAGGUUGUAAUAUACAGGAUUUCAAGCCGAGUGAUGCUGAUACUAAUAUAGCCGAAGAUCCAACUGGAAUUGCUGCGACCAGAAAGUGAUAGGACCCUAAGUGCCUUGAAUUCAGAUGAUAAAGGGCUUGAAAGGAACAAGAAGAGUCGUGAAGCUUAUCGGAUGAAGAAGGACGUAAGCCAGGGCGGCGCGAUAAUUUCAUCAGCUGAUGACCAUGUAGAAUGCAUCUCUAGCACUGCUCCAACCAUCGAUCACCCCCCUAAUAGUAUGCUAUGUAAACAUCUGUUGCAGUGUUUGUGUCCAUCUGAUAAACAAACACUGACUUGCAUAUCAUGCAGUUCUUAUGCAUAAUAGUCUAAUCCAGGAUGCAUAAUAGUUUAGUUUAUUUGUUCAGUAAUGACAUAAAAUUAGAUGCUUGUGGUGGACGUGUCCAACUGAUCCCGUGCAGAUUACUGUUUUGCUUUUCAUAAUUGAAUCACCAUUUGAGUAAUGGUGCCAGAAUAGUUUUGUAUAUUAGUUCAGUAAUGAUAUGAAAUUAGUUGCUUGUGGUGGACGUGCCCAA